This 397-nucleotide unclassified non-coding RNA is filed under the name soil metagenome. RNAcentral's name for it is "partial contains 5.8S ribosomal RNA, internal transcribed spacer 2, and large subunit ribosomal RNA". The stretch from base 1 to 122 matches the Rfam family "5.8S ribosomal RNA", at positions 35 to 154 of the family's 154-position model. The record is from RNAcentral.
GAUGAAGAACGUAGCGAAAUGCGAUACUUGGUGUGGAUUGCAGAAUCCCGUGAACCAUCGAGUCCUUGAGCGCAAGUUGCGCCCGAAGCCAUUAGGCCGAGGGCACGCCUGCCUGGGUGUCACACACCGUUACCCUCGCGCCAACGUUCAUCGUUGGCCGCGGCGCGGGGCGUGCGCUGACCUCCCGCGAGCGGGGUCUCGUGGUUGGUUGAAAAUCGAGUUCGCGGUCGAGGGUGCCGUGAUGAAAUGGUGGAUGGGCGACGCCCGAGACCAAUCACGCGCGACUCUGUCCGGCUCGGACUCCUGGACCCCUUCGGCGUCUCCGGACGCUCUUUGGCGAGACCUCAGGUCAGGCGGGGCUACCCGCUGAGUUUAAGCAUAUCCAAUAAGCGGAGGA